CCUUGGGUGGUGCAAAUGGUAACAUGCUUGGUUGCUAACCAAAAGGUUGGAGGUUUGAGUCCACCCAGAAGCA
This 73-nucleotide transfer RNA is filed under the name Loxodonta africana (African savanna elephant). It matches the Rfam family "tRNA". From Rfam's summary of the family: Transfer RNA (tRNA) molecules are approximately 80 nucleotides in length. Their secondary structure includes four short double-helical elements and three loops (D, anti-codon, and T loops). The record is from Rfam by way of RNAcentral. Lineage: Eukaryota; Metazoa; Chordata; Mammalia; Proboscidea; Elephantidae.